UACGUAGGGGGCAAGCGUUAUCCGGAUUUACUGGGUGUAAAGGGAGCGUAGACGGCUGUGCAAGUCAGAAGUGAAAGCCCGGGGCUCAACUCCGGGACUGCUUUUGAAACUGUGUAACUGGAGUGCAGGAGAGGUAAGCGGAAUUCCUGGUGUAGCGGUGAAAUGCGUAGAUAUCAGGAGGAACACCAGUGGCGAAGGCGGCUUACUGGACUGUAACUGACGUUGAGGCUCGAAAGCGUGGGGAGCAAACAGG
This 253-nucleotide ribosomal RNA is filed under the name uncultured bacterium. RNAcentral's name for it is "partial 16S ribosomal RNA". It matches the Rfam family "Bacterial small subunit ribosomal RNA", at positions 524 to 776 of the family's 1533-position model. The record is from RNAcentral.